Molecule: ribosomal RNA, 253 nt
Filed under: uncultured bacterium
Lineage: Bacteria
Description: partial 16S ribosomal RNA
Rfam family: Bacterial small subunit ribosomal RNA
Source: RNAcentral
UACGAAGGGGGCUAGCGUUGCUCGGAAUUACUGGGCGUAAAGCGCACGUAGGCGGAUUGUUAAGUCGGGGGUGAAAUCCUGGAGCUCAACUCCAGAACUGCCUUCGAUACUGGCGAUCUCGAGUUCGGGAGAGGUGAGUGGAACUGCGAGUGUAGAGGUGAAAUUCGUAGAUAUUCGCAAGAACACCAGUGGCGAAGGCGGCUCACUGGCCCGUUACUGACGCUGAGGCACGAAAGCGUGGGGAGCAAACAGG